Molecule: ribosomal RNA, 767 nt
Filed under: uncultured bacterium
Lineage: Bacteria
Description: bacterial SSU rRNA
Rfam family: Bacterial small subunit ribosomal RNA
Source: RNAcentral
AGGCGGUUUGUCGCGUCUGCUGUGAAAGCCCGGGGCUUAACCCCGGGUGUGCAGUGGGUACGGGCAGACUUGAGUGCAGUAGGGGAGACUGGAACUCCUGGUGUAGCGGUGAAAUGCGCAGAUAUCAGGAAGAACACCGAUGGCGAAGGCAGGUCUCUGGGCUGUUACUGACGCUGAGGAGCGAAAGCAUGGGGAGCGAACAGGAUUAGAUACCCUGGUAGUCCAUGCCGUAAACGUUGGGCACUAGGUGUGGGGGACAUUCCACGUUUUCCGCGCCGUAGCUAACGCAUUAAGUGCCCCGCCUGGGGAGUACGGCCGCAAGGCUAAAACUCAAAGGAAUUGACGGGGGCCCGCACAAGCGGCGGAGCAUGCGGACUAAUUCGAUGCAACGCGAAGAACCUUACCAAGGCUUGACAUACACCGGAUCGGCUCAGAGAUGGGUUUUCCUCCUUGUGGGGCUGGUGUACAGGUGGUGCAUGGUUGUCGUCAGCUCGUGUCGUGAGAUGUUGGGUUAAGUCCCGCAACGAGCGCAACCCUCGUUCUAUGUUGCCAGCACGUGAUGGUGGGGACUCAUAGGAGACUGCCGGGGUCAACUCGGAGGAAGGUGGGGAUGACGUCAAAUCAUCAUGCCCCUUAUGUCUUGGGCUUCACGCAUGCUACAAUGGCCAGUACAAUGGGUUGCGAUACCGUGAGGUGGAGCUAAUCCCAAAAAGCUGGUCUCAGUUCGGAUCGUGGUCUGCAACUCGACCACGUGAAGUCGGAGUCGC